AGUGAACGCUGGCGGUAGGCCUAACACAUGCAAGUCGAACGGCAGCACAGUAAGAGCUUGCUCUUACGGGUGGCGAGUGGCGGACGGGUGAGGAAUACAUCGGAAUCUACUUUUUCGUGGGGGAUAACGUAGGGAAACUUACGCUAAUACCGCAUACGACCUACGGGUGAAAGCAGGGGAUCUUCGGACCUUGCGCGAUUGAAUGAGCCGAUGUCGGAUUAGCUAGUUGGCGGGGUAAAGGCCCACCAAGGCGACGAUCCGUAGCUGGUCUGAGAGGAUGAUCAGCCACACUGGAACUGAGACACGGUCCAGACUCCUACGGGAGGCAGCAGUGGGGAAUAUUGAACAAUGGGCGCAAGCCUGAUCCAGCCAUACCGCGCGGGUGAAGAAGGCCUUCGGGUUGUAAAGCCCUUUUGUUGGGAAAGAAAAGCAGCAGGUUAAUACCCCGCUGUUCUGACGGUACCCAAAGAAUAAGCACCGGCUAACUUCGUG
RNAcentral lists this ribosomal RNA (492 nucleotides) under uncultured bacterium. RNAcentral's name for it is "partial 16S ribosomal RNA". It matches the Rfam family "Bacterial small subunit ribosomal RNA", at positions 29 to 507 of the family's 1533-position model. The record is from RNAcentral.